Molecule: transfer RNA, 27 nt
Filed under: Protarum sechellarum
Lineage: Eukaryota; Viridiplantae; Streptophyta; Magnoliopsida; Alismatales; Araceae
Description: partial tRNA-Phe
Source: RNAcentral
AGUAAGAUAAGGCAAUGCAUGGAAAAU